This is an RNA transcript of Mizuhopecten yessoensis (Yesso scallop), 4827 nucleotides long. It is a transcript of the gene named protein-L-isoaspartate O-methyltransferase domain-containing protein 2-like, with no coding region annotated. The record is from RefSeq and is a predicted model, not a curated record. The transcript is spliced from 6 exons. Lineage: Eukaryota; Metazoa; Mollusca; Bivalvia; Pectinida; Pectinidae.
ACUGACGUCAUACACUGUUGUUGUUUUGGUUUUUCACUGACAAAAUUUUCUGAAGUCUCUCUUGAAUUCUUCGCUUUCAAAUAUAUCUGAAGUGUGGUUCCGAGACCUCUACAUUUCACGGCAGUGAUGGGCGGGGCCGUGAGUACCGGGGAGGACAACGACGAGUUAGUGGAUAACCUGGUGGGGGCAGAUUAUAUAAAGACUCCUAUGGUAGAGAAGGUUUUCCGGGCAGUGGACCGGGCCAGCUACUACCUGCCAGAUCAGCGUGGCAACGCUUACAAAGAUCUGGCAUGGAAACAUGGACACUUCCACCUAUCUGCUCCAUGCAUCUACUCUGAGGUGAUGGAGUCCCUUCAACUGGAGCCAGGGAAAUCCUUCCUUAAUCUGGGUAGUGGUACAGGCUACCUCAACACCAUGGUGGGACUUAUACUUGGGCCGUACGGAAUCAACCAUGGGGUAGAAUUCCACGCUGAUGUGGUAGAGUAUGCCCAGAAAAAACUGGAAGAGUUUAAACAAGUGUGCAAGUCAUUUGAUGACUUCGAGUUCUGCGAGCCAUGGUUUGUCCUGGGCAACUGUCUCCAGAUCCCAUCCAGCUGUCGCCUGUAUGACCGGGUAUAUUGCGGAGCUUCAUGUCCACCUGAACACGAGAACUAUAUGAAGAAUCUACUGGCUGUUGGGGGGAUAUUGGUGAUGCCACUCAAUGACCAGCUUUUGCAGAUUCGUCGUACAGGGGAGACAGUUUGGGAGUCAAAGGGUGUCAUGUCAGUAUCCUUUGCGACACUGAUCAGUCCUUCUAAGGAGGACACCAAUGACACUGUAGAGCUACCGGAGGCCAGCAUUCCAAUUCUACAGAGUAUUUGUCGAGACAGCAUCAGAAGGAUAAUACGUACCAAUAUAUACAAAGAGCAUCCAUCUUUGAACACAGUCCGUAAACGACCUGCCAAAAAACAAAAGGCCAGGCGUCAAAGACGAAAGCGCAUCAACAUGGUACCGAUGAGUAUGGGCAUGAUGAUUCUCGGCCAGUUUAAUGGGAGCGAUGAGAGUGAUGAUGACAGCAUUAUUGACCAUCAGGGUCAACCAUGCCAUGAUGAGGAGGAUAUCUCAGACUCAGGGUCAGACAGAGGAGAAGGACAGGAGGGAUCAGAUGAGGACAGAAGACCAAGAGGGAGGAAAAGCCUCCGAAGAAGGUCAGCUCGACAAGGAAUGGAGGAAGAUAUAGAAGAAGAUGAAGAGGAAGAGGAGGGGGAGGAUGAGGAUUAUGAAUCUACUCCAAGGAGGAGAGUUACUGCUAGACAAACGUUACACGAACUGGCUACCAGACUCAAUGAAGUCAGGACGCAGUUAAGUGUUCAAAGACAAAUGGACCAAAUGUCAAGGUUACAGCCCAAUGAGGAAGAGGAAAAUCAAGUUACAAACAAUGAAGAAAAAGAUGAUGAUGAAGGAGUGGAGGAAGAAGAUAUAUAUGCUUAUAAUGAUGAUGAUGAAGGCCAUGGUGAAGAGGAGAGCGAGGGAAAAGAGGAUGAAGUAGUGCAAAAUAAAAGUGGUGUGCAAAGUUCCCUUGAAGACUUGGACAAAGAGGAUAUGGAGCUAGGAAUUUUUACAGAAAUGUUUCCUCCUCCUAUUCCCUGUUCCAGUGGCAGCCCCCCACACAAACAGCGCUACUCCUCGAGUACAAGUGUCGACACCUCCGAGACUUCAGGCAUAGGCUCCUUUUCCGAGGCAUCAGCUAUUGGCUCUCUUGGAGAGGAUGCAGUAUUGAUACAGGCAAUGAGUUCCUCCUCCUCACAGGGCAGUAGGGCAGAUGGCAGUCCACUGGAAUCUUUCAUGGAUAGUAUAACAGAACCCACAGAGUGUAUAGACACAGUUCCAAAGGAGUGUAUUAAAUCUUACAUGAAGGAGAAAAUAGACACACUGCCUCUCCCCGAGGCCCUGAAGGCCUUUCUCAUGUAUUACAGGGACUGAAGUAUGAAUAGAGUGCUCUCCCUUUCUCCCUAGUCCAAGUCAAAUAGGUAACACACACUCUUCCGAUAACACAAAUCAAUAGUGAUCGUCUUGAGCUGUCACAGACAUUGUUAUGUCCGACCCGUAAGUAUUUUGACAUUCUGUCUAAUCCAGCACAAAUCUCUGACAUUGUAUCCAUUUCCUCUACAAAAGACUGGUGUAAUCCUACUUCAUGUUUUUGUGCCACAGUUUGUCGAUUAGGACAAGUUUCACUGUACAAGUAAACAUCCUAUACGGCAUACAGCCUAUUUUACAUGCUGUUCAUUCGUUUGGAAAUAUUCAGUGUUGAAUUUGCAGCUUUGAGAUUAACGUUAGGUUUAUGAUAGUGCUACUUGACUAGAAAUGAUCGUUGUUGUGUUCAUUCUGUGGUUUCAUCGACAGUACUGCAAAAUGAUGCAGUGAAAGUAAUGGUUCCUAUAUCAGUGUCGCUUGUAUAACACAUAGUACUAUCAUGUUGGUCUGUGCCAGGAAAAACAGUGAGGUAGAAUGAGGGGAAGGGAGUGUCCUGAACCCUAUUGUAAGGACAAUAGUUUUCUCUGGCCCCACAUCAGACAUCUAUAUAUAUGUUAAAAUGUCUACAUGCAGUCUGGUGUCAGGGCCAGAUGAAACUCAAGCUAUAAGUACCCUGGUAAAAAGUACAUUCAAAUUCCUAUUGUACAUUGACCGUGAUCAACCUAGAGACUGUUUAGGUGUCUGAAGCUAUUCGUGAUGGUCGGAGAACAUAACGACAAGCCAUCCAGGUUUUUGUAUUUAUAGAAAAAUGUUUGGACAGCUACUUGUAUUGUGAAUAAUCUCCCUUUGUAAUGUUUUCUACUUCCUGUUAAUUUGCAUUUGCAUUUAAUAUGUAAAUACAUGUACUUGUUUGAUAAUUGCAUUGAACAAUGCUGUUACACUAUGGAGAUUGUCGUCCGGAAAUUUUAGUACAUAGAUAAUGUGAAUCUUCACAAAAUAUUUUGAUUUCAGAAAUGGGUCAAGAUUCCAUGUCUUAACAGGAAAAAAUCCUAGGAAAAUGUCUUUUGGUUUGAAGGUGUAUGCAUUUCAACCUGGUCUUUAAGUUUGUCCCUGUCAAUGAAAUUAUUGGGUAAAACAGUUGUCUAUAUUCUUCCCUUGGAUACUAAUUCUGAAUAUUUUUGUUAAGAAACUUCACUGAAAAAUGUUUAAUAAUUAAAUGAUCUGUUUUUUUAAAGCGUUGGGGCUGUAGUCCAAAGUUCAAGGUUACAGGAGUGGGCCUGGGCCAGAAGUAUUAACAGCUCAGUAUUUUUUUAAGGAAACUUCAUAGAUGCAGAUCAAUAAUGAGAGUAGGUACUUGCCGGGUACUAGACAGUGUGUCCCAGGAGGUACUUACCUGGUACUUGACAGUGUGUCCCAGGAGGUACUUACCUGGUACUAGACAGUGUGUCCCAAGAGGUACUUACCUGGUACUAGACAGUGUGUCCCAGGAGCUGCUUACCUGGUACUCGACAGUGUGUCCCAGGAGGUACUUACCUGGUACUUGACAGUGUGUCCCAGGAGGUACUUACCUGGUAAUAGACAGUGUGUCCCAGGAGGUACUUACCUGGUAAUAGACAGUGUGUCCCAGGAGGUACUUACCUGGUAAUAGACAGUGUGUCCCAGGAGGUACUUACCUGGUACUAGACAGUGUGUCCCAGGAGGUACUUACUAGGUACUUAAGAAAGUGUGUCCCAGUAGGUACUUACUAGGUACUAGACAGUGUGUCCCAGGAGGUACUUUCUAAGUACUUAAGACAGUGUGUCCCAGGAGGUACUUUCCAGGUACUAGACAGUGUGUCCCAGGAGGUACUUACUAGGUACUUAAGACAGUGUGUCCCAGGAGGUACUAACUAGGUACUUAAGACAGUGUGUCCCAGGAGGUACUUACCAGGUACUAGACAGUGUGUCCCAGGAGGUACUUACUAGGUACUUAAGACAGUGUGUCCCAGGAGGUACUAACUAGGUACUAGACAGUGGGUCCCAGGAGGUUCUUAUGUGAUUACCAGGUACUAGACAGUGGGUCCCAGGAGGUACUUACCAGGUACUAGUCAGGUGGUAUUUACAGGCUACAAGACACUAGACAGUAUGUCCCUGGUGGUACCUACCGGGUACUUGACCGUGUGUCCAUGGAGAUACCUACCAGGUACUUGACAGUGCGUCCAUGGAGAUACCUACCGCGUACUUGACAGUGUGUCCCAGGAGGUACCUACCGGGUACUUGACAGUGUGUCCCUGGAGGUACUUACUGGGUACUAGACAGUGUGUCCCAGGUUGUACUUACAGGGUACUAGACAGUGUGGCCAAGGAGGUACUUACUGGGUACUAGACAGGGUGUCCCAGGGUGUACUUACUGGGUACUAGACAGUGUGGCCAAGGAGGUACUUACUGGGUACUAGACAGUGUGUCCCAGGAGGCACUCACCUGGUACUAGACAGUGUAUUGCGAUGAAACUACACAUGGCAAACUGAAGUGGAGUUGGAUUAUGGAAUUCUGUGAUUUUGGUAGUCCUAUAUGCACACAUAUAUUCUUAAGAUGUAAUUUGACUCCUUCAUGAUAAGAUAGUAACAGAAUUACAUGAUUUUAAAACUGUGAUAUUUUCCCAUUACAAUUGUUGAAAAACACAUUUUUGUGUAUGUAAUAAUAUUUAUAUACAGCUGUAUGUACAAAACUUAUUUAUAGUGUAUAGUUUUGAUGUAGCUCAUCUAAAUGUGCAUGUCCUUGGAAAACUUCUAUUAACUUGAAAGAGCUGUUAUGCAAGCUUGAAGGAAAUAUAUAUUUAAAAUAACCUGAAUUUUAGCUCACCAGGUCCGAAAGGACCAUGGUGAGCUUAUGCCAUA